Non-coding RNA from Microcebus murinus (gray mouse lemur), 2299 nucleotides. The record is from RefSeq and is a predicted model, not a curated record. Lineage: Eukaryota; Metazoa; Chordata; Mammalia; Primates; Cheirogaleidae.
AUCUGUGGCUGCCCCAGCGGACGUUUGCCGUUGGCGGAUAUGCGGCGUUACCGGGGGUGGUGGACGAUGUUCGCCGGCCGGCAUGGCCGUUUUCAGGAGAACCCUUCGGCUGUGCGCAGUUCCACGCGUAGAGCCCACCAGGGAAGACUGUCCCAACCUUGCAGGUGGGCCAGCGAAGGCAGCCGGGGUUUUCUGGGCUGCGAGGUGGCAAUUAGCCCCACGGCGAGUGUCCUGUGCACAAGCACACGCCCGUGCAUAGGAUGCAGCGAGUGCCAUCGGAUGUGUGCGGGCCGCCAUGGAUGGCUCUGGGAGGGGCUCAAGAUAGGGGUGGUGUUGCCACCCUGGGGGAAGUCGGGGGUGGCCAGAGCCUUGUGGAAUGGGGCUGUCAACCUUUCACCUGGACUUGCAUUUCAUUCCAGGGACUUCAGGGAGGCCUAGUCGUAAAGAAGUGAAGAAAUGGCUGAUUUUCAGUUGGGCGGGGGGCAGCAGAUUCCGUUAGACUUGAACGGUGGCAACUGGCAGCUCGGGGACAGGGGGCUCUGUCCCUCAAACCCACUUUGGAGGGAUAAAAGGAGGGACAGGUGAGGAGUCGAGAAGGGUCACCUCAGAAGAAAGCAGAGGAUAGUGAUAAUUGUUGACGAUGUAAUUCCAGCACCAACUACAUACCCAUUUCGGUGCCCGUGCCUUUCAUAAUUUCUAAACCUGACAGUGCGUCUGUGAGUUGAUAUCUUUAAUAUCUAGGUCCUUUUCCCCGUUCCUAUAGCUGAGGCUCAGAGGAGCUAAAUCAAUCCACACAGACGUACGCAGCGUGUAUGUGCAGAGUCAGUUUUGGAACCCAGGCCGUAAGACUCCAAAGCCCUCUUCCGUCCCGCCGAGGCGACCACCCCCUCUGGGCCCGCACUCGCGAAGCCUGGGGCCCUCCGUCCCGGCCCUCCCCGCUAGUGGCCUGGUCCUUAAGGCUGGUGGGAAAGAAGACGUGGCCCAGUGACCGAUCGCCCGUCCUGCUCAGGAUCCCCAAGGCCGGAGCUGUUCCUUCCGUCCGGGGAGCGCGAGCCCAGCCUUUUCCAAACUCCAUAAUUUCUGGGACAAGAGAAGCCCCGCUCACCGUCCGGCACGGGGCACGCUGCUCUGUCUUGUUUACUGUUCUCUUCCCCCUGGAAGUGAGAGCGAGCCUGGGCUAGCUUGCUGGGGGCUGAGAGACCACGUGGAGCAGGGAGGAGUCAGCAAAGGUGCCCUCGCUGAGGUCGGAGGGAGCCCAGGUAUGUGCUAUUGUGAUGAUAUCUGCUGCCUCCUUUGAGAGGAAGUACGGAUACGUGACCGUCACGCCUACGCGCUUCAGACAGUGUCUAAGAACCAGCCCUUUCCCUUACAUGUCAUGGUGUAACGACCAAUUUAGGACAGCUCACACUGACGUAACACCGUCACCUAAUGCAGUGUCCGUGCUCAAAUAUUGCCAAUUAUCUCUGUAAAGGCCUUUAAAGCAUCCCCCCAAAACAAAGUAUCCAGCUGAGAACUGAGGGUGGCACUCACACGCCAUGUCUCUGUGGGUUUCUUUUAGCCGGGGACGCCUCGGCCCCGCCCGCUGCCGUGCGCAGCUGUGGUGCGCAGUUUGUGGCGCAGCUGCUCCGUAGGGCGUCGCUCCGUGCGGGUUUGUCGGAUUGUUCCCUCGGGCACAUCCAGGUUGUGCACUUUGGGCAGAGAUGCCGGAUCCAUGACAUCCUGUGAGAGCGGGCAGUGUCCUGGCCCUGGAAGCCCGUGACCGCCGGCCCCACACUCCUCUCCUGGUCCCUGUCCUGCCCGAGACCGAGAGGCCUCCUCGAAGCCGCCCGCAGAGAGCUGCGCGCGGGGCGCUCUGGAGCCGAGGCCGGGCUCAGAUUCCAGCUCCGAGUCCUCCUGGAAGUUCAGAUCAACCUUCUAGUCCCCCAUGUGUUACCAUAGCUUGGACCAAAGUUUCAGCUGCCCACCUGGAAAUGGCACCAGAGCAUCUUUGCAAACAUCUAUGCAAGUGCCUGGGGAGGCAGGAUCGAUGGAUGUUGACUGAGUGUCGGGCCUUUCUACAAGUAUUCUCUCAUUUGGCCUCCACAACUUGUGAAUGUAAUCGUUCAUGCCCAUUGUACAAAUGGGGAAACUGGACAUCCCAUUAUACAAUGAAUGUAUAGUCAGAUUUUCUUCAGUUUUUUGUUAUUUCAAAGAAUAAUGUAGCAAACAUCCUUAUUCACACUGUUCAGCCAUUUCUCAUAUUUGUUUUCAGUUUUUUUUCCUCAAAGAAAUAAAGUUUUAUGAAUAAAGCUAAAGGUCA